UACGUAGGGGGCGAGCGUUACCCGGAUUUACUGGGCGUAAAGGGGGCGUAGGCGGCCGUGAAAGUCCGGUGUGAAAACUCACGGCUCAACCGUGGGACUGCGCUGGAAACUACACGGCUUGAGGACGGUAGAGGGAGACGGAACUGCUGGUGUAGGGGUGAAAUGCGUAGAUAUCGGGAGGAACACCAGUAGCGAAGGCGGCUAUCUGGUUGACUUCUGACGCUGAGGCACGAAAGCUAGGGGAGCAAACAGG
Molecule: ribosomal RNA, 253 nt
Filed under: uncultured microorganism
Description: partial 16S ribosomal RNA
Rfam family: Bacterial small subunit ribosomal RNA
Source: RNAcentral